Molecule: unclassified non-coding RNA, 364 nt
Filed under: uncultured bacterium
Lineage: Bacteria
Description: contains 16S-23S intergenic spacer region
Source: RNAcentral
UCCCGGUUGGCCCGGGCUGUCUCGCAUGAAAAAUACAACAUACGAUAAGGGUUGCGCUCGUUGCGGGACUUAACCCAACAUCUCACGACACGAGCUGACGACGGCCAUGCAGCACCUGUCACUUGGCUCCUUGCGGCACCCCCUAAUUUCUUAGGGGUUCCAAGGAUGUCAAGCCUCGGUAAGGUUCUACGCGUAGCUUCAUAUUAAACCACAUCCUCCUCUGCUUGUGCGGGUCCCCGUCAAUUCCUUUGAGUUUUAGCCUUGCGGCCGUACUUCCCAGGCGGCAUACUUAUCGCGUUAGCUGCGUCGCACAGGGGGUCGAUACCCCAUACGACUAGUAUGCAUCGUUUACGGCGUGGACUAC